Molecule: ribosomal RNA, 371 nt
Filed under: uncultured organism
Description: partial 16S ribosomal RNA
Rfam family: Bacterial small subunit ribosomal RNA
Source: RNAcentral
GGAGGGUGCAAGCGUUAUCCGGAUUCAUUGGGUUUAAAGGGUCCGUAGGCGGAUCUUUAAGUCAGUGGUGAAAUCCUGCAGCUCAACUGCAGAACUGCCAUUGAUACUGGAGAUCUUGAGUGUAUUUGAAGUGGGCGGAAUGUGUCAUGUAGCGGUGAAAUGCAUAGAUAUGACACAGAACACCGAUUGCGAAGGCAGCUCACUAAACUACUACUGACGCUGAGGGACGAAAGCGUGGGGAGCGAACAGGAUUAGAUACCCCUGGUAGUCCCACGCCCGUAAACGAUCAUCACUCGCUGUUGGCGAUACACAGUCAGCGGCCCAAGCGAAAGCAUUAAGUGAUGCACCUGGGGAGUACGGUCGCAAGAUUG